This 167-nucleotide ribosomal RNA is filed under the name uncultured Paracoccus sp. RNAcentral describes it as "partial 16S ribosomal RNA". It matches the Rfam family "Bacterial small subunit ribosomal RNA", at positions 340 to 524 of the family's 1533-position model. Lineage: Bacteria; Pseudomonadati; Pseudomonadota; Alphaproteobacteria; Rhodobacterales; Paracoccaceae. The record is from RNAcentral.
UACGGGAGGCAGCAGUGGGGAAUCUUAGACAAUGGGGGCAACCCUGAUCUAGCCAUGCCGCGUGAGUGAUGAAGGCCUUAGGGUUGUAAAGCUCUUUCAGCUGGGAAGAUAAUGACGGUACCAGCAGAAGAAGCCCCGGCUAACUCCGUGCCAGCAGCCGCGGUAAU